UACGGAGGGUGCAAGCGUUAUCCGGAUUCACUGGGUUUAAAGGGUGCGUAGGCGGGCAGGUAAGUCAGUGGUGAAAUCCCCAAGCUUAACUUGGGAACUGCCGUUGAUACUAUCUGUCUUGAAUACCGUGGAGGUGAGCGGAAUAUGUCAUGUAGCGGUGAAAUGCUUAGAUAUGACAUAGAACACCAAUUGCGAAGGCAGCUCGCUACACGAAUAUUGACUCUGAGGCACGAAAGCGUGGGGAUCAAACAGG
This 253-nucleotide ribosomal RNA is filed under the name uncultured bacterium. Its description in RNAcentral is "partial 16S ribosomal RNA". It matches the Rfam family "Bacterial small subunit ribosomal RNA", at positions 524 to 776 of the family's 1533-position model. The record is from RNAcentral.